CUAGCCUGGAAACUUCCAUAUGCCUCAGGUGCGGCCCUAAAUAAAUAAAUAAGUAAAAACCUUUCCACUUACAACAGAUUUAUGUAGUUAGCACUAAUAUUCAAGAUUGGAAAAAUUAUUUCCAUGUUCUCAGGUUAUCAGCAAUAAUCUUCCAUACUUCAUAGUAAGUUCAGGCAGAACUUAUCUUCGGCUGUUUGUAUGUGUGCUUAGAUAUAUUAUAUUCAGAGAGAUUCUGUACUGUGGUUUGUUUUCCUAAAGGAGAAUAUAGGCAGAGCCUCCCUGCCACAUGCUCCAUUGGUUAGGCUCUGAGUAUGUGAGGGCGGGAUAGGAUUGGUCCUCUUGAUUCCUCGCCCUCACCUCAAACAUUCAGCACUAGUUCCAUCUACAAACAAACACACAAGAACCUGAUUUGCUUGUUGGUGACUUGAUGCUAUCUCAGAAGACAAUUUCUAUAUACCAAGAUAGACAAACCUGGGGACAAAUUCUGUGGGUAAUUGCACUUAGAAAUGUCAAAUCUUUAACUUUGAAGCUGCUGCAUCUUUUCAGUGCUUUAUUAAGUUAUAAAGAUUUUGCAGAAGUUUGACAAGAAUGGAGAUAAUUUAAACAAUAUUUCACUUUGUUGAAUACCUAAAUUAUCUUAUUGAUUCUCAUAAAUGUUUAACAAUAUUAUAGUAUUUUGUUGAUUAAUAUGUGUGAGAUCAAAUGUGAUAUUUAUCAGUAAAAAAAAAAAAAAAGGAUUUUUGGUGUAGUUGUCAAAGUUCAAGUUUUGGAAUCAGAGAAUCCAAGUUCCAAAUCCCCCCUUUACCAUUUAUCAUCCAUGUAAGCUUGGAGGAAAUUGCUUAAAUACUUCAUCCUCAGAGGGCAUAUAUACUGCCUAUGUCCCAGGGUUUCUAUAAGGAUAAAUCAUAUGUGCUCAAUAAAUAGUGCUUAUGAUGGAAAUGUUGCUUUGCACUUUCUUUCCUAUACUUGGGAACCACAAGGGGGAGAAAAGAUUAUUGUUAUUCCCUUCAGGAAAAAAUAUUUUUAAAAUGUAAAAUCAUAUCACACAUGCCAUCUCAUUGUGGUUUUGAUAUGUGUUUAGUGAUAUAGAGCAUCUCUUCCUGCGUUUAUUGGCCACUUGUAUACCUUCUUUGAAUAUUCAAGUCUUUUGCUUGUUUUUAAAUUGGGACAGUUUUUUGUUGUUGGCUUUUAUCCACAGGUGAUUCUUAGAGAAGCAAAGUGAAUUGAGAAGGUGAGUCCUUCAUGAAGUGUCAAGGGCCCUCUGUGGGGUGGUUUGAACCCACCUUUUGUCUCCUCUGCUGCUUUUCCCAGCAAGAAUCUUUUGCUCUAGCUAUAUGUUUACAUCUUCUAGCCUUUGUUUAUACCAUUCCAACAACUUGGAUAGCUGAAGCAGAAAGACUUGUUCUUGUCUGCAUAAGGACCACCCUUCUCUGUCUCCUACAGAAAUAGUUCUGGUGGAACUAUAGAUCACAGUGUCCCUCCCAUUCCUGGCCACAUUGGUGGUGCAUGACCUAGGCUUGCCCAAUCCCAGUGCCCCCAUCACUGUGAUAUCAGAAUUGGCUCAAAGGAUGGACAUGCCAAACAAGACUCAAUUUCUGUACCUUCAGGGAGAUGUCUCUUUCUGCUUGGCUUGCCAAGCUAGGAUGAUAUAAGCCUGGACUACUUGCUUCUUCCUUGACAGUGUAGCCCAUCUAUAGGGAGAAAGAAAAGGUUACCAGGCAAAUGUAAGAAUAUGAUUAUUUAAAUCCCUGGAUCCAACCAUACCUGAAACUAGAUACCCCAAACUGGAUAUUUUCCAUACAUAAGCUAAUAAAUUCCCCUUUUUCCUAAGCUCACCUGAAUUCAGUUUUUGUCACUGGUAACAGAGGAAAUUCUGACUAAUAUAAACUCCCAUUCCUAGUUCUCUCAUCUGUCCCUUCAUGCGUCCAUCCGCCCACUCUUAAGCCUUUUAACUCACCCAACUUGGAUCUGCCGUCUUUUCUUUUCAUCUGGUCCAAAAUGAUGUUCUUACUAGGGAUCUCCAGUAAUCAAGGAGUGGAGAGACAGCUUUCCAAGUGUUCUGAUUUCCAACCUCCUGUCCUCCCUGUCCCUUAAGUUUUUCUGUGUUACAUACUCUCUGUUUCUACCUUGUGUAACAGGGUGAAUCUUUAUGAAAAAAUAGUCUUGUGGUGGCUAGUGUGGGCUUAUGAGGGAGACAUUUGGCAUCCCCAACUCCCCUACUCACACCUUAGGGCAGCGCUGGGCAGAGGCUGAGCUCCUGUCUGAAGAAGGAGGAGCACGGGGUCUGCAGAGACAUAUGGAGGGAGAGUGAAAAAGGUAAUUGCAGAAAACAGGACCUGGUGAUCUCCUUGCUGCGGGUUUUGAAUAUAUGGCAUUUUCCCUUUGGUAGCUAUGCCCUUCCAUAGAGGGUUUCCCACCCCCAGCCCACGAAGGGAAAACUGCCCCCAGGUGGGAUUUAGAAAGAGGUGGGCCAUUCGCAUGGGAGCCACUCAUCUUUAUGUUUCAGUCCCGAGAGGGUGGAGCUGGAUCCUUUAUCAGAGGCAGUGUUUUCUUUCACUCCCAGAACCCUAGGAGUCCAGGACUGUUGGUCAGCAGGCCACCUGCAGGCCCAGAUCAGAGGAGAAUCUCCUCGUCCAUCUCCAUCCUGCCCCCUGAAACGAUUCUCUUCUCUCCACUCUGAGCCUCUGCGCGCCCCCACCCUCCAGGCACAUGUCUGAAUCUUUGUUUCUUGCUCUUGCACUUUCUUUGAGACUUUUGUGAACUGAGAAGGGGAAACGCCUUUCAGGGUCUCCAUGUUAGAGGGAAGGAAAUUUCAUAGAAAAUGCUUAGUGUUAAAACUCAGCGUUUGGACUAAUGGAUGAACAAAUAUGUUCUGUCUGUAUAAUGGAACAUUAUCUAGCCCCAAAAGGGAAGGAGAUUCUGAUACAUGCUACGACAUGGAUGAACUUUGAGACCAUUAUUCUAAAUAAAAUAAACUAGUCACAAAAAGGACAAAUCCUGUAUGCUUCCACUUAUAUGAGAUCCCUAGAGGAGUCAAAUUCAUAGAGACAGAAAGUAGAAUGGUAACUGCCAGGGGCUGGAGGAGGAGAGAAUUGACAGUUAUUUUAUUAUUAUUAUUAUUAACUUAUUUAUUUUGCUUUUUAGGGCUGCACCCAUGCCCUUUGGAAGAUCCAAGGCUAGGAUUGAGUCAGAGCUAUGGCUGCCGGCCUACAACACAAACACAGCAAUGUGGGAUCUGAGCUACGUCUGCAACCUACACCACAGCUCACAGCAACACCAGAUCCCUGACCCACUGAGCGAGGCCAGAGACUGAACCCGUAUCCUCAUGGAUACUAGUCAGAUUCGUUUCCACUGCACCACAAUGGGAACUCCAAGAGUUAUUUAAUAGGUAUACAUUUUCAGAUUGGGAAGAUGAAAAAAUUCUGGAGAUGAAGGGUGGUGACAGUUGCCAAUAGUGUCACUAUACUUAAUUCCGCUGAACUAUGCACUUAAAACUGGUUAAGAUGAUAAAUUUUGUGUAUGUAUAGUUUCAAACACAUACACACACACACACACACACACUUUGAGCUGGACCCUGCCCCUUAGUGUUCACCUCAUCAGGAGGACCCAAAGUUAUUUCCAGUGGGUGAGAGUGUGGACAUUAUCAUGUUCUUCCUUGAGCCUGAGAGGGUGCUAGGGUGGCGUGGCCAUGAAAGCCAGCCCCCCAAGGACACAAUAUCAGGGUCCCAGAGACCAGAUAAGCCAUAUUGAGGUGUCCCGCCUCCCAGCCACAGCCUUUUCCCCUGGUGGCUAAGGCUUCCCAGAGACAGGGACCCAUGGUUCAGGGAUGAGGGACAAAUAUCCCCACACUGACCAGGCCACAGACUCAUAUGUGUCCUUCAGCAGAGGUGGCUGAGCUUUUCACAGGUGCCUGGAAGGAACCUAGGCCCACUCGUCUAGUCACCCCUGAGGGAGACCAACGCCUCAGCAUGGUUCUGUCCAGGACGUGGUUACAGUUGGGAGGCUCUGUGGGGACAGGAAUCCAAAAAGACCUGAGUCUGAACACUUCAGAACAAAUGUCAGACAAAACUAAAACCACUUCCUGGGGGGGACAAUGCCUGGAGAGUAGGAGCCCAACUUGCCACCCUCCACACCUGCCACUGCUAGGGUAGACUUUUGGAACUUCCAAGGUUGACAGAGUUCAAGAUGCUUUUCCUCAUUAACUGCCUCAGCCACAAUUUCACAGCCUCUUCCACCCACUCUGGCAUCAUCAUUAUCAACAACAACAAUAAAAAUAAUACAACGGCAGCAGCUGAUACUGAGGGUGUCUCAUACAGCAACCACCAAGUCUUUACAUGGUCUAACUCGGUGGUAGAUGCUAUUUUCAUGAUCCCCAUUUUACAGAUGUGGAAACUGAAGCACAGAGAGGCUAAGAAACUUGCCGCAGGUUACACAGCUGGUGACUAAUGAAACUGGGAAUCAAACUAAGGCUGUCUCUCUCCAGAGCCUGUGAGUUUUCUCGCUGCAGUGUAUAGUUCUUCAGUACUGUAAGAUGACAAAUGCUCACACACCUGCUCUCCUAAAGAAACUCACAAGUACCAGCAACUGGAGCAACUGGAUCUGGGGUCAAAGCUGCAUCCCAGCACGUCAGCUUUCCAGCCAGGCAACUUUGGCUAAUUACUCCAUUUCUCUUGGCUUUAUUUACAUUAUCAGCCAAAUGGGGGUAUAAUCCCUUAUUUGUAAGGGCCUGUGAGGAUUAAAUGAGAUCACAUGCAUGAAUGUGUGCAGCACCAUAGACCCCCAGCCAUGGUGGACACCUAGAAGAUGUGGCCUCAGUCCUCUCCCUUUUUGUAUGUCCUCCAAAGUUCCCUUAACUCUCCUGGAUGAAAGAACAACAUCUACAAAACAGAGACAAGUCUAUGCAUUCUGCCACACAAAGCUCUUGGAAGAGACAAACGCAGGUAAUGUAAGACUCCACGGCACAAAGGCCAGUGCUCCGUGGAUGGCCUUUAAGAAGCCGUGAGACUCUGGGGGAAAAACAUGUUUUCCCAGCACAUUCUUGCCCACUGGAAGGAUCUUUGACUUAGUGGCCUGAUGCCCUGCUCUCAGUUCUGUCAUUCCAUCAGAAGGCCCUUGGGGACUAGCCAGUCUGCAAGCCCAGGGCACAUGCCCCCACUCAAUCAUCAGAUUCUCCUUCAAGACUCACCUCUGAAUACAAAAAAGGUCUGUCUGGGAACUUAUUCAUCUUCUUGACCUCCCUGUUCUAUAGAUGGAUUAUGGGAAGAAACAUGAAUAAUUGAAGAAGCAGGCCACAAGGAAAGCAUACAGAAGAAGAUCAAGACAAAAUCCCAAAGUUUGUAAUGGUUUUCUGAAGCCUGCGCCCACUCCCUCCAUCACUUCUGUUCAUUACUUGGAAAGCAACCAAGAUGAUCCUUUUUGGGAGGACAGUUACAUUCAGUGACCAUACUGCCUUAUUAAGGUGGUGGAGGUGAGAAUAAACUACCUUUAAGGAGGUAGUUGCCAUUAUUUUGCAUAAGACCGAAAUGAUCUCACAGUGGUCAGAGUGAUCUCAUUUUGUCGUCCUUCCGCAACACCUGGAACUUUCUCCUCAUGAAUCAACUUAACCACCAGCCUAUUGCUGGGUGACUGAAAAGUGAUGAAGGAGACUGAAUAAUCAUCCAGAUCAGUGGUACCAUAAGUCCAUGGUCUCUGAGUUCAACUUGCCUUUGGUUUAUUUGGAAAAUCUUUGCUAUAUGUGUGAGUUCUCUACAGUCCAAAAGUUCAGCCUUUCAUUCAAAUCACAUGUUUUUUUCAGAGCCUCUCUCAGAAGUGAAGAAGCCAUAAUUUACACAAAAACUGAGGAUAUCAAGUGUGAAAUCUCUCAACUUCUCAUUCUAUAAUUUAAAUAGUACCUAUAUUGGCUGAACUUAACACUUACCUUUUUUCUUCAAAUCUCAGAGAAGCAGCUGCCUCUCUUUUCUCCCAUUGAAGGCAUUUUUGCUUUGAUCUAAAUUCCUCCCAUAUCCUCCACAUUUAAUGCUUCAUCAGCUCUAUUUACCUCUCUUUUUUAAACCCUAACCUCUACAGAUUGCAAGACAUCUAUGCCUCUCAUUAAAAUAAAAUGAGACUUUUCUUUUACUCUAUACUCAUUUCUGACACUAUUCCCCAAACUUCCAUAUCCUUUUUUUCACAAAUUGCUCAGAACGUUUUUCUACUAUAACUGUCUCCAAUUUCUUACUUCACAAUUGUCACUUAACCACAGCUAGAAUUCUGCCCUAUCAUGCCAUUGAAGCUACUAAAGUCAGUGAUUGAGACUAGGUCAGUCUCAGAUCAACAGCCAGUCAAGUGCUCUUUAAAUCACAAAGUCCAUUUAUACUAUUUGUAUAAUGCUAUUGCUGCUGCUAUAAGCUAACAUUUAUUGAACAAUUACAAUUUUCUAGGGGCUAUGUAAAAUACUUUUCAUACAUUGUCUUAUGACAUCCUUUCCAUUGAGUAACUUUUAUUGUUAUUAUUUUGUAGGUGAAGAGAGGGAAGCACAGAGAAAUUAGUAACUGACUCAUAAUCACAAAGACAAUUGAUAGCAGAGUUAUGCAGAUCUCAUUUUAAACCCCAUACCAUAAUGACUACAUUAAAUAUGUCAGAGUAAGUACCAGUAUUAAAAUCGUAGUGAAAACAACAUUAAAUUCUACAUAAAACAUCUUGAGAACUUUUCCUAGACAUAUCAAGGAGAUAGGAAGAAAAUAAUAAAAAUGCAGGUCAAGAACUAAGUGGAAGCAAGAAUACAAAAAGCUUACUACUGAUGGAACUUUCUCUUCGACAGUGUCAGCUGAUCUAGGUAUACCUAAACCUUAAUUUAUAAGGUCUUUAGUGGCUCAGAGAAUAGGAGGCAAGACCCAAGGCGCAUUCAAAGAAGUGAGUCUGGUAAGACUCCACUCCCCAGAAUGCUAAAUUAUCAUUUUAAGGGUGAAUGAGAAAGUCAUUUCUUCUUUCCAGCCAUCACUGCUACCACAACCCCAAACCAAAAAGAAAACUGCCUGGUUUAAACCUUGAUGUCAAAUGCAGUUGAUUCACAAACAAAAAACCCAAACUUCCUUGACACUCAAUCCAUAACUAAUACAAGCACUCAUCAGAGUUUGGAGCCUUUAUUCACACACAACCAACUCAAAGAUAAACCAUAAUAUUCCGAAUGUGUAAAUUCAAUAGCUCUGAACUCUAUGUGAAUAAACUGAAAAACCACAACUGAGAAUUUGACAAACUGAUCUUUGACUGAUAAUGGCCUAGCCUCCUCAGAGAAGCAAGUGCUUUUUCAAAAAAGCUACCUCCAAACUAUGCCUCAAAAACUCUUAACAAAUAAGUUCCAACAAAGAUGAAGAAAUUAGAGUAAAAUAAUUCUCAAAAUGGGCAAGACGCAUAUAUCCUGAAAAAAGAGUCUGAGAUUAAAAAACCAAAGUCAUACCCACAAAGGCUUUAAAUACGUGAAUUAGCAGAGUGUAAAGCAAAAGUUGGCUAUGUUUCAGUAAAUAAUAGAGAUCUUUAAAAUAAAAAUGAGGAUAGUUGAACAUAAAUAAAAAGUAUCUUCUGGAAAUGAAAAAAAAUAAUAAUUGGAAUUAAAAGCUCAUACAAGAAAUUGUUGGAAGAUUAAGCAUAGGAGACAAGAAUAUUAGUGAUCUGAAAGACAGCCUAAGUUAGGUCUGAUGAAUUCUGUGUGGCUAAGAACCAGUCUGGAAGGAAAUGGUUUCCUUAAAAUGUCAUUAGUGAAAACAAGCCUGAACAGAGCACAAUAGCCAUGAGGUUUUUUGUUUAGUUUUGUUUAUGAAUCAACUAUUAUGAAUAUAACCUGAGUCCUUAAAAGUUGGGAAAAAUUCAUAGACAUAUUUUAUGAAAGGGGAAAAAUAAAUAUUAGAAAUUGAUUCCAUAUAAGGGGGUAUCAGAACAAGUUUGGCAAACUAAGGGCUAAAAAUGAAAACUGAUCUAUCAUGAAAACUCUAAAUGAAUCAAAUUUACUAAAGAAUCAAUGUUACUUUACUUAUUUCAUCAGUAUCUUUAUAAUCCAAAAUUUAGGGCGUUGCUGUCAUGGCUCAGUGGUAAACAACCCAGCUAGCAUCCAUGAGGAUGCAGGUUUGAUCUUUGGUCUCGUUUAGUGGGUUAGGAAUCUGAUGUUGCUGUUGCUGUGGCGUAGGUCUCAGCUGCAGCUCUGAUUCAACCCCUAGCCUGGGAACUUCCAUAUGCUGUGAUACAUACUGGGUUCCUGACACAGCCACACAGCCAUUAUAGUCUGGAAGAGGUCACCCUGGAAAAUGUGAUUCACUGACUUUUGUGAGUUUCUCUUAGAAAAAAACAGGAAAGUUAUGUCUACAGCUGUUUUUUUUUUUUAAUGAAAGUUAGAAAUGAAUAUUAUAAUUAUACUUGCUGUAAUUAUAUUUUUAAAUGAAAGACACAGGAAACCACUUACACAUUUCUAAGACCUCAUCGGGAAAUUUUAAUGCACACAGGUGCCCAACAUUAAGAGAAAAUCACCAAAUAAUUGCUUCUAUAAUACAGGAGAGUAGGUGAGCCCAUUAAUUUUCUCACAGCCUAAAUAACUGUUCCCCUCUGUUGCCUAAAUGAAUACUAUGGAUGCAGAAAUAUUAGUGGAAUAAUUAGCGAUGUCCAAAGAACUUCCAAAGCCCAUUAAAGUCCAAUAAUGCUAACUUUAACUUUAGCUUCUCAGUUAGACCCUUUUUAACAUUUAACAGCACUGAAGGCUCACUCUCUGAAAUAGAGUGAAAGUAUUUUAGAAUGUCGGCAUAAAAAUACUCAAAUCUCACAUUACCACCUACUAAUGUCAGUAUGUCAAGUUGUGUAUGCAAGUGGCAAAAAGAACAAAGCUUUGGCUUCUUAAACUACCUGAACUUUGCUCUUGUACUUUUAGGAACUACAAAGAAAAUCUUUAUUUUAAAGCCCUUAAAGACAAUAUGUCCAACAUAUAAUAAAAUAUAAAUAAGGAAAAUGUCAGGUAGAUUGAUCUAUUCAUAAGGGUAUUUAAGACUUCUGCAAAAACAAAAAAGGGAGGAAAGAAAUAUUUUCAAUAUUUUAAAUAAGAGAGCUUAGUGUUUGCUUUUUAAAUAAGAAUAUCAAAAAGGGACCACAGUCCAAAAUAAAUAAUUUCUAAUUUCAAUAUUCCCAUUCAUCAUUUACUUAACUAUAGUUAAGUAAAAGUCUAAUAUAAUUUAGAGAUAUUAUAAUGAGUAUAUCACAACUUGAUAAAGAAACAACAAUUUAAUAAUGGUGUGUAAGGACACAUGACUGAAUUUUCAGGGAUUUUAUUAUUAUUGUAUUAUAGUUAGAAUUUGACCAAGUUCACUACUAAUUUAAACAGUGGUGCCAAAUAUCAUGCAAUAAUAUCUAUUUUAAAACUUCAAAAAAGAACUGAACUGAAGAUACGCAAAACAUUCCUUUUACUAUUUUUUAGUUACACUGAAAUAUUCUGUAUUAUAGAAGGCAUAGGAGUUCAAAAUAAGAUGUCUUGCAUUUAUGUGAUAAAGCAUUUCUUUUAUUUCAAUUUUCUUAUAAAAUAUUUUGGCAAAUAAAUAUUACCUCAAAAAUAAUUUGUUCUUUUUAUCAUUUUUUCUUAAGAAAAUAUGAUCAUAUAUUUCUCAACAAUGCUUUGAAAUGAACUGAAAUCAUUUGUUGUAACUUCUCAUUCAUAUGAAAAAGAAAUUUUGCUCUAUUCAACAGACAUACUAUCAAAAGAAAAUACAUGCAGAGUUUGAGCCUUCUAUUAGAGAGAGGAAACUAGUUUUUAAAGUUGAUUUUGAGACAAAGACUGUUACUGAUUUUUACUGAAGCUUCCUUAUAUUAAAAUAUUCAAGAAAUUUGUACUUUUGCAAUAAUUCUAUAGCUAAGAAUCUGAAAUCCUUCAGUGUUCAAAGGGAAUUAACAUUCAUCAUUUCUAACUUUCUGGUUCUUACUUAGUUAUAUUACAUUUACUCAAUCUAAACAAAAUUUAGUUUCUUAUUCUCAGCUCCCACCCUCUAGUCCAUCUUCUAGCUACAAUAUUUGUUCCUCUUUCUUUCUUCUCUUUGCUUAUAAGGGCACCAGCAUCUAUAAUUUGAACUAAGGUAAAAAUCUCAGAGCCUCUUCAAUUGUUCUAUGUCACUCCUUGCCUUUCUAUUCCCAGCUCUCUGAGCUCUACUCUGAAUAUCUCAGUUCAGUGAUGAUCUAUCAAGCUGAUGCUGCCUCAUUUCAGGCUCUCUUGUCUCAUUUGUUAAAUUCAAUAACAGCUUGAAAAUAAUGAUAGCUUCCAUAUCCCAGAAGAUUAGCUUUUUCAUGGACUUUAAGAAAAGUCCAUGAAAUAUUUCAAUCUGAUCCCAGUUUAACAUUCCAUUUUUUUUGCCCUAUAUUUAAGCUAUUUAUAUUUCUUCAAAUGCAACUCAUUACCUACUUUUUUUUUUUUCCUGAAAAAUGUAUGUUCUUUCAUGAUUCCAGUCCUUUGCACACAUGGUUUCUUCUACCUUGAACUGUUCCUUGUCUGCUAGGUCACAUGAUAUCCAUGCCUGGAUUAUACAAUGGCAUAUAUGUACAUAGAUGCAUUGAAUAUAUAACCUCAGCUUAAAUGACUGCUUUUCUGAAGUUUGUCCCAACUCCCCUACAGAGUGCUGCUUCCAUUUGCAUGUUUCCAGUAGUGUGUGUGUGUGUGUGUGUGUGUGUGUGUGUGUAAUUUGUUUUACUAUAGCAUUUACCCUGGCAUAUUAUAAUAUUUAUGUGUCUUCAUUACACAUAAAAUUUGUUUCUCUUCAUAUUUUUUUUAUUUUAGUUUCAUGUCCAGUAGUGGUCAAAUAGUGUUUGUCCUAAUUGUCAAUAGAAGAAUACCAAAAAUCAAUAUUUAGAAAUGAUGGAUGUGAGCUUGAAUUUACCACUUAUUAACUCUGUGAGCUUUGAUAAAUAACUUUCUAGGGCUUAGUUCCUCAGUGUAAAAUGAAGAAAAUCGGACAUGCUGAAUAGGGUGGUUGUGAAUAUUUAUUGAGGUGUAAAAUGCAGUGCCUGGCACAAAGCAAACAAUCAAGAUUAGUUAUGUCAUAUAUUUUGGCAUCUUGUCUUUGAAUACUUUGUAGCUGUCCACCUUAUACUUUCUGUUUAUUAUCUACUGUACACUGGAAGACCAUUAUUAAUUUCCAUCUUUUGUAAUUAGCCAUAUAGUUAUUGGAAAUAGGACUAUUUUCUAAUGCUUUUUUGUUAUCUAAUAAUCCUCAGUGCUAAUGUCUGCAUAUAGAAUAUAGUGAGGAAAUAUUUGUUAAAAGAAUCAAUCUGCCACUAAGAAAGUAUAUUUAUUGAAGUCUUUUUAAUGAGUGCCAUAUCUUUACUUACAGGGAACUGAGAGUAUCUAAAUAGGGAAUUUUUGUAGUUACAUUAUUGUAACAAGAUUCUUAUCAGAAAUUAAACUUGUCAUUGUAAAACUGGUUUAUGAAGAAGUUGCAGGAAUAUUUAAGAAUGCGAAUCAAAAAACCAUUGUGUAUGCUACACAUAACAAAGUCUGCACAGAUGAAAAAUAAUAUGUAUUUUAGAAGUAUAUGGUCAUGGAUUUAAUUCAUGAGCCCAAAACUUACAAUAGAAAAGACAAUUUUUAUUCUGAUAUAUUUAAUAGUAUAGGUUAUUUGGCCUAGUCAUAAACUGAUUUACUAGUUUAGCAACAUAAGAUUUUUGAAGCAAUGUUAAUCUUAUAUUCAUUUUUAAUUUUAAUUAUUCUUAAUAUUCUUAUCUUUUAUAUUGUCAGUUGGUGUGCAGAUUGACUAAUAAAAUCUAUCUCAAAAUUUCAAUAUGUAUAUCUUUAUACACAUAUCUAUAUCUAUGUUUAAUCCUCUUGAACAUAAAUUUUUUAAAUCUACUUUUGUUCCCAUCAUUAGAUUAUUUAACAGAAUAUGUCCUUCAUUUAGGAAUGAAUUUGGGUCACCUUGCUCUAUAAGAAAAGCAGAAUUGCUAUUAAAUGGUACAUAAUGGCAUUCGUCAUUAAUUUAAAAAGUUUCAGUAUAUGAAUAAUGUAUAAAAAGCCUACUUCUCCUUCAAUUACUAAGUUUAAUAGAAAGUCAGGGGAAACAGACAACCAAGCAUUUGAAAAUUAAAUCUGAAUCUUGAUCUCUACGUAUUCUGUCUGACAAUGUUUUAUUGCCUAUUGGAUAAGAAAUUAACAAGCACAAACAAAAAGCUUUACUAUAAAAAGAAAAGCCUUUAUCAUCAUUUUAUAGGACAAGAGGAUGUCAAGGGAAAAUAGAAUUCAAUUUAUAAACCUUUUACCUUGGAAAAUAAAUUGAGAACUUUCAAAAAUAUAUUGAAUAUAAAGUGCUAUGAUGAAACUAAUGGAUACCAAAAGAAAAGCCUUUCAUAUUGUUAAAGUGACACUAAAUGUAAAGAAGAGUGUAUUUACCGAUUGAAAUGGUGCUAUUUGCACAUGAGACAAUAAAAUGUGUCUCCUUUAAUAUAUAUAAAUUGAAACAUUUUAAUAUGAACAACACAUUCAGCAAAGAAGUUGUUCUCUACAAUGUUCUUCAUUUAAACUGGUGGUGUUUUAGAACAAACUCUCUUUCAUGUAAACAUGCACACCUAUAUAUACUUUUUCUUUAUUUUAUAACAUGAUGCGUUUUAUGUCUAUAUGCACCAUCUAACAAGUUUGCUAGGAAGUAACAGCUGUAAUUCUAAACUAAAUUCUGGAUAAAAUAGUCUUUAGUUGAAUGAAAUUCUAAAGUGAUUGGGACCAAAACAAUAUGCCAUAAAGCAGAGUGGCCAAUAUUACAUAAUUUUAUCUUGAGAUUAUAUGGUAAAAUGUUAGUAUUUCCAAUUACUUGUUUUUGGAAUACUUGUAUUCUUUGAGAACCAUGGGUAGGAUGUAACAAUUUGUGAAUCUAUUUUUAUAAAAAUUAUUAAAAAUCUCUGUUUUUUCCUCUAUUUUCCUUUUUAAAAAUUCCUAAAUCAAUUUCAUCUAAUUAUUCUUGCUCUAUGUUAUUCGUAAUGUAACAACUUAAGUGACCAAUAAUCUUUUAUAAUGUGUCUAAUAUAUAAAAUAUUUUGUUACUUCUUGCUUAUU
This is a non-coding RNA of Sus scrofa (pig), 13036 nucleotides long. The record is from RefSeq and is a predicted model, not a curated record. NCBI's taxonomy places the organism in Eukaryota, Metazoa, Chordata, Mammalia, Artiodactyla, Suidae.